This 1491-nucleotide ribosomal RNA is filed under the name Lactiplantibacillus pentosus. RNAcentral's name for it is "bacterial SSU rRNA". It matches the Rfam family "Bacterial small subunit ribosomal RNA". Lineage: Bacteria; Bacillati; Bacillota; Bacilli; Lactobacillales; Lactobacillaceae. The record is from RNAcentral.
CUAGAGACGCUGGCGGCGUGCCUAAUACAUGCAAGUCGAACGAACUCUGGUAUUGAUUGGUGCUUGCAUCAUGAUUUACAUUUGAGUGAGUGGCGAACUGGUGAGUAACACGUGGGAAACCUGCCCAGAAGCGGGGGAUAACACCUGGAAACAGAUGCUAAUACCGCAUAACAACUUGGACCGCAUGGUCCGAGUUUGAAAGAUGGCUUCGGCUAUCACUUUUGGAUGGUCCCGCGGCGUAUUAGCUAGAUGGUGGGGUAACGGCUCACCAUGGCAAUGAUACGUAGCCGACCUGAGAGGGUAAUCGGCCACAUUGGGACUGAGACACGGCCCAAACUCCUACGGGAGGCAGCAGUAGGGAAUCUUCCACAAUGGACGAAAGUCUGAUGGAGCAACGCCGCGUGAGUGAAGAAGGGUUUCGGCUCGUAAAACUCUGUUGUUAAAGAAGAACAUAUCUGAGAGUAACUGUUCAGGUAUUGACCGGUAUUUAACCAGAAAGCCACGGCUAACUACGUGCCAGCAGCCGCGGUAAUACGUAGGUGGCAAGCGUUGUCCGGAUUUAUUGGGCGUAAAGCGAGCGCAGGCGGUUUUUUAAGUCUGAUGUGAAAGCCUUCGGCUCAACCGAAGAAGUGCAUCGGAAACUGGGAAACUUGAGUGCAGAAGAGGACAGUGGAACUCCAUGUGUAGCGGUGAAAUGCGUAGAUAUAUGGAAGAACACCAGUGGCGAAGGCGGCUGUCUGGUCUGUAACUGACGCUGAGGCUCGAAAGUAUGGGUAGCAAACAGGAUUAGAUACCCUGGUAGUCCAUACCGUAAACGAUGAAUGCUAAGUGUUGGAGGGUUUCCGCCCUUCAGUGCUGCAGCUAACGCAUUAAGCAUUCCGCCUGGGGAGUACGGCCGCAAGGCUGAAACUCAAAGGAAUUGACGGGGGCCCGCACAAGCGGUGGAGCAUGUGGUUUAAUUUCGAAGCUACGCGAAGAACCCUUACCAGGUCUUGACAUACUAUGCAAAUCUAAGAGAUUAGACGUUCCCUUCGGGGACAUGGAUACAGGUGGUGCAUGGUUGUCGUCAGCUCGUGUCGUGAGAUGUUGGGUUAAGUCCCGCAACGAGCGCAACCCUUAUUAUCAGUUGCCAGCAUUAAGUUGGGCACUCUGGUGAGACUGCCGGUGACAAACCGGAGGAAGGUGGGGAUGACGUCAAAUCAUCAUGCCCCUUAUGACCUGGGCUACACACGUGCUACAAUGGAUGGUACAACGAGUUGCGAACUCGCGAGAGUAAGCUAAUCUCUUAAAGCCAUUCUCAGUUCGGAUUGUAGGCUGCAACUCGCCUACAUGAAGUCGGAAUCGCUAGUAAUCGCGGAUCAGCAUGCCGCGGUGAAUACGUUCCCGGGCCUUGUACACACCGCCCGUCACACCAUGAGAGUUUGUAACACCCAAAGUCGGUGGGGUAACCUUUUAGGAACCAGCCGCCUAAGGUGGACAGAUGAUUAGGUG